RNAcentral lists this long non-coding RNA (261 nucleotides) under Lathyrus oleraceus (garden pea). Its description in RNAcentral is "Pisum sativum (pea) long non-coding RNA (PSAT_LNC017296)". Lineage: Eukaryota; Viridiplantae; Streptophyta; Magnoliopsida; Fabales; Fabaceae. The record is from RNAcentral.
AAAUAUGUCCUAUUAUGGUUCGAACACACGUCGCUUGGUACAAAACAAAAGGCCUAACCAUUGCAUUGUUAUUAUAUAAUUUAUACAUUUUUCAAUGAAAUAUUUAUAUAAAUAAAAUUUACUUUUAUAAUUAAUAAAAUCCCACCUUAAAAUUUGAGGCCCGUGUUAUUUGGAGGCCCCGUGCAACAUGCCAGGUUACACAGACCUAAAACUGGAUCUGACUCCUACAUGCUAUCAGUGUGGGAAAAAAGGGAAUAUCAG